Molecule: ribosomal RNA, 253 nt
Filed under: uncultured bacterium
Lineage: Bacteria
Description: partial 16S ribosomal RNA
Rfam family: Bacterial small subunit ribosomal RNA
Source: RNAcentral
UACGGAGGGUGCGAGCGUUGUCCGGAAUCAUUGGGCGUAAAGGGCGCGUAGGUGGCGGGACAAGCGUGCGGUGAAAGCCUGGGGCUCAACCCCGGGUCGGCCGUGCGAACUGUUUUGCUUGAGCACUGUAGAGGCGGGUGGAAUUCCGGGUGUAGCGGUGGAAUGCGUAGAGAUCCGGAAGAACACCAGUGGCGAAGGCGGCCCGCUGGGCAGUGGCUGACGCUGAGGCGCGACAGCGUGGGGAGCAAACAGG